AAACUUGCGAAAAAUCAAAUGAUUUAUUAUAAUAAGUUAUAAUAGGAUAAUAGAAUAAUAGGAUAAUAGGAGAGAAUAAUUCAAACUUCCUACCGGUUCCUACCGGGAAUAAUUACAACUUCAUACCAAAGAAAAAAAAAAGAAUAAAAUAAAAAUGUUUAGCAUAUGAUUUGCAAGUAUUUUGUACGAGAUUCUUUUAGAGGUUUCUGCCUUCAAAUACUGAAUUCAG
This 229-nucleotide long non-coding RNA is filed under the name Lathyrus oleraceus (garden pea). RNAcentral describes it as "Pisum sativum (pea) long non-coding RNA (PSAT_LNC040975)". Lineage: Eukaryota; Viridiplantae; Streptophyta; Magnoliopsida; Fabales; Fabaceae. The record is from RNAcentral.